CCUACGGGUGGCAGCAGUGGGGAAUAUUGCACAAUGGGGGAAACCCUGAUGCAGCGACGCCGCGUGAGUGAAGAAGUAUUUCGGUAUGUAAAGCUCUGUCAGCAGGGAAGAAAAUGACGGUACCUGACCAAGACGCCCCGGCUAACUCCGUGCCAGCCGCCGCGGUAAUACGUAGGGGGCAAGCGCUAUCCGGAUUUACUGGGUGUAAAGGGAGCGUAGACGGCAGGGCAAGUCUGGAGUGAAAGGCGGGGGCUCAACCCCCGGACUGUCCUGGAAACUGCGAGGCUGGAGUGCAGGAGAGGUAAGUGGAAUUCCUAGUGUAGCGGUGAAAUGCGUAGAUAUUAGGAGGAACACCAGUGGCGAAGGCGGCUUACUGGACUGUAACUGACGUUGAGGCGCGAAAGCGUGGGGAGCAAACAGGAUUAGAUACCCUGGUAGUC
RNAcentral lists this ribosomal RNA (440 nucleotides) under uncultured bacterium. Its description in RNAcentral is "partial 16S ribosomal RNA". It matches the Rfam family "Bacterial small subunit ribosomal RNA", at positions 338 to 795 of the family's 1533-position model. The record is from RNAcentral.